UUGGGAGGUAAUAGCUUUUGUAUGAUGGCGCUGCAGUUUCCCUAUAGUUCAAUUGCUUCCUCUUCAAUGUAUUUUCUUUUCUUAGAGAGAAGUUCUUUCAGAAAUUUUGCAUAUGAAGACAUUUGCUGCAAGGCCUCUGAGAAGGGUAUGUUGAUGUCCAGUUUCUUGAAGAUCUCCAUGAAGUGCUCAAAUUGCUUCUCUUUUUCCUUCCUAGAAUAGUUCCUUGGGUAAGGAAGGGAUUUUUCAAAAACUUCUUUCUUUUUUUUUUCUCAUUCUCCUCCUUACACUUUUUUUCCUUUUCUCUCUCUUUUUCUUUUUCUUUUCUCUUACUCUCUCGUUUUUCUCUCUUAUUUUUCUUUUUCUCGCAAUCUCUCUCUUUCUUUUCUUUUAUCUAACACUCU
This 401-nucleotide long non-coding RNA is filed under the name Vigna radiata. RNAcentral's name for it is "long non-coding RNA (VRAD_LNC008078)". The record is from RNAcentral. Lineage: Eukaryota; Viridiplantae; Streptophyta; Magnoliopsida; Fabales; Fabaceae.